This 301-nucleotide ribosomal RNA is filed under the name uncultured bacterium. RNAcentral describes it as "partial 16S ribosomal RNA". It matches the Rfam family "Bacterial small subunit ribosomal RNA", at positions 509 to 807 of the family's 1533-position model. The record is from RNAcentral.
CAGCCGCCGCGGUAAUACGGAGGGGGCUAGCGUUGUUCGGAAUUACUGGGCGUAAAGCGUACGUAGGCGGCUUGGUAAGUUAGAGGUGAAAGCCUGGAGCUCAACUCCAGAAUUGCCUUUAAGACUGCCGAGCUAGCAGGUGAGAGAGGUAAGUGGAAUUCCGAGUGUAGAGGUGAAAUUCGUAGAUAUUCGGAAGAACACCAGUGGCGAAGGCGGCUUACUGGCUCAUACUGGACGCUCAUGCACGAAAGCGUGGGGAGCAAACAGGAUUAGAUACCCGUGUAGUCCCUGUCUCUUAUAC